This 447-nucleotide ribosomal RNA is filed under the name uncultured bacterium. RNAcentral describes it as "bacterial SSU rRNA". It matches the Rfam family "Bacterial small subunit ribosomal RNA", at positions 28 to 504 of the family's 1533-position model. The record is from RNAcentral.
GAUGAACGCUGGCGGCGUGCCUAACACAUGCAAGUCGAGCGAACCCUUCGGGGUGAGCGGCGGACGGGUGAGUAACGCGUGGGUAACCUGCCCUGUACACACGGAUAACAUACCGAAAGGUAUGCUAAUACGAGAUAGUAUAUUUUAAUCGCAUGGUUAAGAUAUCAAAGCUCCGGCGGUACAGGAUGGACCCGCGUCUGAUUAGCUAGUUGGUGAGGUAAUGGCUCACCAAGGCGACGAUCAGUAGCCGACCUGAGAGGGUGAUCGGCCACACUGGAACUGAGACACGGUCCAGACUCCUACGGGAGGCAGCAGUGGGGAAUAUUGCACAAUGGGCGAAAGCCUGAUGCAGCAACGCCGCGUGAGCGAUGAAGGCCUUCGGGUCGUAAAGCUCUGUCCUCAAGGAAGAUAAUGACGGUACUUGAGGAGGAAGCCCCGGCUAACUAC